CAAUAUAAGCGCCAUUUGAGUAUCCUUACGGGCUUUUCAAAUUGGCAUCUUUAAACUCUAUUAAAGGAGAACGUUAGUGGCCCGUAUCGCUGGCAUUAACAUCCCCGAU
This is a regulatory RNA element of Rheinheimera nanhaiensis E407-8, 109 nucleotides long. It matches the Rfam family "Alpha operon ribosome binding site". From Rfam's summary of the family: The bacterial alpha operon ribosome binding site is surrounded by this complex pseudoknotted structure. Translation of the mRNA produces 4 ribosomal protein products, one of which (S4) acts as a translational repressor by binding to the nested pseudoknot region. Lineage: Bacteria; Pseudomonadati; Pseudomonadota; Gammaproteobacteria; Chromatiales; Chromatiaceae. The record is from Rfam.